Long non-coding RNA from Lutra lutra (Eurasian river otter), 395 nucleotides. RefSeq lists it as uncharacterized. NCBI's taxonomy places the organism in Eukaryota, Metazoa, Chordata, Mammalia, Carnivora, Mustelidae. The record is from RefSeq and is a predicted model, not a curated record. The transcript is spliced from 3 exons.
UUUCAGCUUUUCUUAGAAGGCAAUUUUGGUGGUGAUGAAUUCCCCACAGCUUUGGUUUAUUAGGAAGGUAUUUAUCUAGCCUUUAUUUCUAAAGGACACUUUGCCAGGCAAUUCCUGGAUCUCCAUUUCUUUGGGAUCAUUUACUAGAAAUGGUGUCAUGUUUCCCUGAUUCUUCAUGAUCCCAGUAGCAUAAGUAUCUAUAAAAUUGGAGAAGGAGUCACCCCUUCCAGACUUUAUGGACUGACUUUGGCUGUGACCUGAUGAGAAUUUGAACAACUGCCUCUGGAUAUAAGCCAAGGGAGCUAUGUGUUAUAACAGAGCUGCCUUGCCAACCCUACCUCUGGAUUGUUAGGUAUAAAUUUAUAUUAUUUAAAAUAUAACUGGGGCACCUGGGU